GUGGUUUGUCUCUCCUGGUGUGGUGUCUGGAGGAAUAAGGGUUUGUCUCUCCUGUUGUGGUGUCUAGAGGAGUAGGGGUUCUCUCUCCUGGUGUGGUGUCUAGAGGAGUUGGGGUUUGUCUCUCCUGGUGUCUGGAGGAGUAGGGGGUUUGUUCUCCUGGUGUGGUGUCUGGAGGAGUAGAGGAUUUGUCUCUCCUGGUGUGUUGUCUGGAGGUGUAGGGGUUUGUCUCUCCUGGUGUGGUGUCUAGAGGAGUAGGGGGUUUGUCUCUCCUGUUGUGGUGUCUGGAGGAGUAGGGUUUUGUCUCUCCUGGUGUGGUGUCUGGAGGAGUAGGGGGUUUGUCUCUCCUGGUGUGGUGUCUGGAGGAGUAGGGGGUUUGUCUCUCCUGGUGUGGUGUCUGGAGGAGUAGGGGGUUUGUCUUUCCUGAUGUAGUAUCUGGAGGAGUAGGGGUUUGUCUCUCCUGGUGUGGUGUCUAGAGGAGUAGGGGUUUCUCUCCUGGUGUGCUGUCUGGAGGAGUAGGGGCUUUGUCUCUAUUGGUGUGGUGUCUAGAGGAGUAGGGGUUGUCUCUCCUGGUGUGGUGUCUGGAGGAGUUGGGGUUUGUCUCUGCUGGUGUUGUGUCUAGAGGAGUAGGGGUUUGUCUCUCCUGGUUUCUAGGAGUAGGGGUUUGUCUCUCCUGGUGUGGUGUCUGAAGGAGUAGGGGUUUUCUAUCCUGGUGUGGUGUCUGGAGGAGUGGGGGUUUGUCUCUCCUGGUGUCUGGAGGUGUAGGGGUUUGUCUCUCCUGGUGUGGUGUCUGGAGGAGUAGGGGUUUGUCUCUCCUGGUGUGGUGUCUAGAGGUGUAGAGGUUUGUCUCUCCUGGUGUGGUGUCUAGAGGAGUAGGGGUUUGUCUCUCCUGUUGUGGUGUCUGGAGGAGUAGGGGUUUGUCUCUCCUGGUGUGGUGUCUGGAGGAGUAGGGGUUUGUCUCUCCUGGUGUGGUGUCUGGAGGAGUUGGGGUUUGCCUCUCCUGGUGUGGUGUCUAGAGGAGUAGGGGUUUGUCUCUCCUGGUGUCUAGAGGAGUAGGGGUUUGUCUCUCCUGGUGUCUGGAGGAGUAGGGGAUUUGUCUCUCCUGGUGUGGUGUCUGGAGGAGCAGGGGGUUUGUCUUUCCUGUUGUGGUGUCUGGAAGAGUAGGGGUUUGUCUCUCCUGGUGUUGUGUCUGGAGGAGUCGGGGUUUGUCUCUCCUGGUGCGGUGUCUAGAGGAGUUGGGGUUUGUCUCUCCUGGUGUCUGGAGGAGUAGGGGGUUUGUCUCUCCUGGUGUGCUGUCUAGAGGAGUAGGGGUUUGUCUCUCCUGGUCUGGUGUCUGGAUGAGUAGGUGGUUUGUCUCUCCUGGUGUGGUGUCUAGAGGAGUUGGGGUUUUGUCUCUCCUGGUGUGGUGUCUGGAGGAGUAGGUGGUUUGUCUCUUAUGGUGUGGUGUCUGGAGGAAUAAGGGUUUGUCUCUCCUGGUGUGGUGUCUGGAGGAGUUGGGGUUUUGUCUCUCCUGGUGUGGUGUCUGGAGGUGUAGGGUUUUGUCUCUCCCGGUGUGGUGUCUGGAGGAGUAGGUGGUUUGUCUCUCAUUG
Oncorhynchus tshawytscha (Chinook salmon) is the source of this 1586-nucleotide long non-coding RNA. The record is from Ensembl. NCBI's taxonomy places the organism in Eukaryota, Metazoa, Chordata, Actinopteri, Salmoniformes, Salmonidae.